AAUGGGAUGAGUUUAAUUUUGGCUCAGAAAGAAGGCGUGAAUUUGGUCUUAUACAUGUAAAUUUAAAUUUUAGUAUGAAAAUUGGUGUGCGGGUGCGUAGUAUAUUAUGGUAAAUUAUCUUAUGAGUAAUUAAAUUAAUUGAAGAUAAAUAAAUAAAUAGGUGAUUAGGUAUUAAGUUUUUAGCCAAAGAUCAUUAACUGGUUUUUUAGGAUGUAUGGUCACAUUUGCAAUUAAAGAAGGGCAAGACUCUUUUAGGAGAGGCAGCAGUAUAGAAUCUUGAACAAUGAAUGAAAAUUUGAUUCAGUUAAAUUUGUGUGUGUAAUAUGGGAUAUUCUCAAUAAAUCAUAAGAAGUUUAUUUAUAGUGAAAAUAAAUUAAGAAAGGGCUGACAAAGAUCAGUGCCAGAAGUCUCGGUUAUACUGACAGCCUGAGUCUAUUUCAGUAUUACUAGGUGUAAAGGAUGUGUAAAUCAGUUAAAAUUAUAUAACACAAUUUUAAAUUAGAAUUUUAAGAGUGAAUAUAAUUUUAUCUUUGAGUAUUUAAAGAAUUAAUAGAAUAUUAAAAGAAGUGAUAGAAUAUUAUAAUAUUUAGUAGAAUUUCACAAGCGAAGGCAAUUAAUUGUUAAAUAACUGACUUUGAGAACAUGAAAGAUAAGGUAGCGAUAUGGAUUAGAUACCCAUGUAGUCUUAUCUGUAAACAAUGACUAAGAAAUAUAUAGUAGAUUUUUAAGAUAACUUAUUAUUAGUUCACCUGAAGAGUAAGAUCGCAAGGUUUAAAUUCAAGAAAUUAGGCUGUAUAUUGUCCUACUAGUGGAUUAUGUGGAUUAAUUAGACAAUACACUCAAAAUCUUACUUAUAUUUGUAUUUAGAGCAAAAACAGGUGUUGCAUGGCUGACUUCAAUUAGUGUCGUGAGAUGUUUGAUUAAUUUCAAUAACUAAUGAGAUUCUAGGUUUUAUUUAGGUGUAUAGAAUUACUGAGAGUUAUAAACUCUAGGAAGAUUAGAAUAAAGUCAAGUCCUUAUAACCCUUAUAUAUAAGGCCUCACAUGUAAUACAGUGAUUAAUAGAAAAGAAAACGGUUAAGUAAUUAACUGUAAAAGAUGUAUUUAGUCUAGGUAUGGAUAAGUUUCUGUAACUCGGAAUUUUGAAGAAGGAAUUAGUAGUAAUUUAGAAUUAUCAAGUCUAGGUGAAAAUGGCUCCAAUGUAAGUACUUAUUGCCCGUCAAGUCAGGAAAGGGGACCUUCAUAUAAGUAUAAAUAAAUAAAGUAUAAAAGUUAUUAACUUUAUUGUAAGUAUAAAAUUGAAAAGAACAAUUCUGAUUAAGUCGUAACAAAGUUGUCUUAUGGGAACAUGAGGCAGGAUGAUUAUGGUA
RNAcentral lists this ribosomal RNA (1369 nucleotides) under Sphaerothecum destruens. RNAcentral describes it as "small subunit ribosomal RNA". It matches the Rfam family "Bacterial small subunit ribosomal RNA". Lineage: Eukaryota; Ichthyosporea; Dermocystida. The record is from RNAcentral.